UACAGAGGGGGCAAGCGUUGUUCGGAAUUACUGGGCGUAGAGGGCGCGUAGGCGGCCUGCUAAGUCGAACGUGAAAUCCCUGGGCUCAACCCAGGAACUGCGUCCGAUACUGGUUGGCUUGAAUCCGGGAGAGGGAUGUGGAAUUCCAGGUGUAGCGGUGAAAUGCGUAGAUAUCUGGAGGAACACCGGUGGCGAAGGCGACAUCCUGGACCGGUAUUGACGCUGAGGCGCGAAAGCCAGGGGAGCAAACGGG
RNAcentral lists this ribosomal RNA (253 nucleotides) under uncultured bacterium. RNAcentral's name for it is "partial 16S ribosomal RNA". It matches the Rfam family "Bacterial small subunit ribosomal RNA", at positions 524 to 776 of the family's 1533-position model. The record is from RNAcentral.